GUCAGAGGUGAAAUUCCUGGAUUUAUGAAAGACUAACUACUGCGAAAGCAUUUGUCAAGGACGUUUUCAUUAAUCAAGAACGAAAGUUAGGGGAUCGAAGAUGAUCAGAUACCGUCGUAGUCUUAACCAUAAACUAUGCCGACUAGGGAUCGGGCGGUGCCUUUUAUUGGCCCACUCGGCACCUUACAGAGAAAUCAAAGUUUUUGGGUUCUGGGGGGAGUAUGGUCGCAAGGCUGAAACUUAAAGGAAUUGACGGAAGGGCACCACCAGGAGUGGAGCCUGCGGCUUAAUUUGACUCAACACGGGGAAACUCACCAGGUCCAGACACAAUAAGGAUUGACAGAUUGAGAGCUCUUUCUUGAUUUUGUGGGUGGUGGUGCAUGGCCGUUCUUAGUUGGUGGAGUGAUUUGUCUGCUUAAUUGCGAUAACGAACGAGACCUUAGCCCUUAAAUAGAGUUGCUGGCAUAUGCUGGUAAAUCUUCUUAUGGGGACUAUCGAUUUCAAGUCGAUGGAAGUUUGAGGCAAUAACAGGUCUGUGAUGCCCUUAG
This 548-nucleotide ribosomal RNA is filed under the name uncultured eukaryote. RNAcentral describes it as "SSU rRNA". It matches the Rfam family "Eukaryotic small subunit ribosomal RNA", at positions 904 to 1476 of the family's 1831-position model. The record is from RNAcentral.